AAGACUAUAGACCUGCGGAGUACCUGCGGAAGGAUCAUUGCCACACUAAACGAUCCAAGAUCGACACUUUUUUGUGAACUGUUAAUGUCUUGCGUUAAGACGCUUUGGUAGACACAUACUUGUGUAUGUGUUUUGCUAUAAUGCUGUUAACGCUUAUUUAACACCCCUAAUUUUGAUGAACAAUUCCUUGGAAGAAAGAAAGUUAUGUAUUCUUACAUGACGCUAGAUAAUUUAAUUGUC
RNAcentral lists this unclassified non-coding RNA (240 nucleotides) under soil metagenome. RNAcentral's name for it is "partial contains 5.8S ribosomal RNA, internal transcribed spacer 2, and large subunit ribosomal RNA". The record is from RNAcentral.